Molecule: ribosomal RNA, 767 nt
Filed under: uncultured Planctomycetota bacterium
Lineage: Bacteria; Pseudomonadati; Planctomycetota
Description: bacterial SSU rRNA
Rfam family: Bacterial small subunit ribosomal RNA
Source: RNAcentral
GAACGAGGAUAUGUCCUUCGGGACAUAAGUCGAGUGGCGCAAGGGUGAGUAAUGUAUGGACAACCUGCCUUUAGGACAAGAAUAACUCUGUGAAAAUAGAGCUAAUACUUGAUAAUACAAGAGGAGUUUGCUCUUUUUGUUAAAAUUGGGUAUUUAUACCUUUUGCCUAGAGAGGGGUUCAUCUCCUAUCAGCUUGUUGAUGGGGUAAUGGCCUACCAAGGCUAAGACGGGUAGCCGGCCUUAGAGGGUGGUCGGCCACACUGGAACUGAGACACUGUCCAGACUUCUACGGAAGGCUGCAGUCGAGAAUCUUUCGCAAUGCCCGAAAGGGUGACGAAGCGACGCCGCGUGAGUGAAGAAGGCCUUCGGGUUGUAAAACUCUGUCAGGAGUUAAGAAAUGCAAGUCUGCUAAUACCGGAUUUGUUUGACAAAAGCUCCAGAGGAAGCCACGGCUAACUCUGUGCCAGCAGCCGCGGUAAUACAGAGGUGGCAAGCGUUGUUCGGAAUUAUUGGGCGUAAAGAGCACGUAGGUGGUUUUGUAAGUCAGAUGUGAAAGCCUUCUGUUCAACGGGAGAAUUGCAUCUGAAACUGCAAAACUUGAGUGUAGGAGGGGAGAGUGGAACUUCUGGUGGAGCGGUGAAAUGCGUAGAUAUCAGAAGGAACGCCGGUGGCGAAAGCGACUCUCUGGUCUAUUACUGACACUGAGGUGCGAAAGCUAGGGGAGCAAACGGGAUUAGAUACCCCGGUAGUCCUAGCCCGCAAACGAU